GUAAGUACAACUGGAGCACAUUUUUGCCUUGAUCCAUAGAAAAAUCAGAAAUCACCUAACCUCAUAAAGAUUGAGAGAUCUGAUCCUUGUCCACUAUAAUGUGAGGUUGAAGCUCAAGUAUAUUAAUGAUAGGAAAGAGCAUAGGUAAGAUGACCCAUUCAAUGAGGACUUUGUCCAUGAUCAUGAUGAGAAGGAUUCUAUGUUUAGCUAAGUAGU
This 216-nucleotide long non-coding RNA is filed under the name Elaeis guineensis (African oil palm). RNAcentral describes it as "long non-coding RNA (EGUI_LNC032381)". Lineage: Eukaryota; Viridiplantae; Streptophyta; Magnoliopsida; Arecales; Arecaceae. The record is from RNAcentral.